RNAcentral lists this long non-coding RNA (237 nucleotides) under Elaeis guineensis (African oil palm). Its description in RNAcentral is "long non-coding RNA (EGUI_LNC008177)". The record is from RNAcentral. Lineage: Eukaryota; Viridiplantae; Streptophyta; Magnoliopsida; Arecales; Arecaceae.
GACCAAUAAAUCAUAAAGCAAGAAUUCAACAUGUUCCAAGGUGAUAUGAUAAAUAUUGGUCAAUUAUAGAUGUUCUACAGAAACUAGGGUGGAGAUUAAUGCAGUGACAAUUGCAGUCAAUCUAGGACCCUCUGCUAGGGUCUACUAGAAGCCCACAAAGGAAGACUCUCAGACCUUUUGCUAGGUCGAAUAAAACAUCUAGAAAAAGAGAGAAAUAGGGAAAAGAGAAAGAAGAGG